AGUGAACGCUGGCGGCGUGCUUAACACAUGCAAGUCGAACGAGAACGGAAUAUAGCUUGCUAUAUUUGUCAGCUAAGUGGCGUACGGGUGAGUAAUGUAUAGAUAACCUGCCCUUAAGAAAGGAAUAACAGUUGGAAACGACUGCUAAUGCCCUAUAUGCCUUUAAUACAUAAGUAUGCAAGGGAAACGCUUUAGUGCUUAAGGAUGGGUCUGUAUGGUAUUAGCUUGUUGGUGAGGUAAUGGCUCACCAAGGCUAUGACGCCUAACUGGUUUGAGAAGAUGAUCAGUCACACUGGAACUGAGACACGGUCCAGACUCCUACGGGAGGCAGCAGUGCAAUAUUGCACAAUGGACGAAAGUCUGAUGCAGCAACGCCGCGUGGAGGAUGACACAUUUCGGUGCGUAAACUCCUUUUAUAUAGGAAGAUAAUGACGGUACUAUAUGAAUAAGCACCGGCUAACUCCGUGCCAGCCGCCGCCGUAA
This 483-nucleotide ribosomal RNA is filed under the name uncultured bacterium. RNAcentral's name for it is "partial 16S ribosomal RNA". It matches the Rfam family "Bacterial small subunit ribosomal RNA", at positions 29 to 523 of the family's 1533-position model. The record is from RNAcentral.